CGGGAGGGUGUGCGCAGGCGUAGUAGCUGUGUUUUAACCCCGCCGGCAGGCGCUCCGCGCAGCACUGCCCAGGGAGCCAACUGUUUUGCGGAGCUAACGAGGUCCGCGCUGCUAACCAGGAAGAAGAUUCAAUCCUUCUGCAUCAUUCAGAAGCUCUGCACAAGGGCUGCCUUUAACAUCUGAAUACAACCAUCAAACCUGUACUUGCUGUGGUAAUGAAUAUAUAUAGGCUGCCUGGAGGUCUAAGUAUGAACUAAAUAACUUGGCAUAU
This is a long non-coding RNA of Orcinus orca (killer whale), 271 nucleotides long. RefSeq lists it as uncharacterized. NCBI's taxonomy places the organism in Eukaryota, Metazoa, Chordata, Mammalia, Artiodactyla, Delphinidae. The transcript has 3 exons. The record is from RefSeq and is a predicted model, not a curated record.